RNAcentral lists this ribosomal RNA (80 nucleotides) under Klebsiella pneumoniae. Lineage: Bacteria; Pseudomonadati; Pseudomonadota; Gammaproteobacteria; Enterobacterales; Enterobacteriaceae. The record is from RNAcentral.
CCUGGCGGCACUAGCGCGGUGGUCCCACCCGACCCCAUGCCGAACUCAGAAGUGAAACGCCGUAGCGCCGAUGGUAGUGU